UCCCACGUCUAGGGAUUAUACGGUCUGUGGAGACCUGCUGCUAGGGCAGCCACCCAGCAGGCCAUCGAGCCAUCAAGGAGGCUGUCCAUCUCAUGGUGAACGAAUCGUGGGAACCCCAAAAUGGUUGGUUGACCAUGUCCAGAGCUCAAAACGGAUCAGUUGUAAAACCAGACCAAACGCCGCUGAUAUGGGAAAGAAGUAAAUGGUAGAUUGCUCUUAAUAGGCUGCAAUGAAUGGAACAAGCAAUCUAUGGCCACCUGACUUCACCUUGCCUAGGGUCGGCAAUUCAUUCCAAAGUGGAAAUUGAACCCAUGGCCACUUUCGCGUCGCGACUAAGACCGCUCAGUGAAAUUAACCCCUGGUAUUACGGUCUCGUCCAGGGAUUGAACCAGAUCUCAGCCUUAUUUGAAUUGCUUGUGGCCUCUGAGACCGUAGGGUUCCUCUCAACCCUAAUAAGCCUUCAACGUUGUGGGUGAUAAUUGUAGAGUGAAUUUGGGAACAGGCCUAUCCAAAAAGGCUCCGAACAGCUUAAAAACAUUCCAUAAACGCACAAACAGAUGACAAAGCGCCCAACUAGCUCAUGCUCGAAAUAGAAACCAAACGAUUGAAAGCUAAAUUUGUUUCCCAGUUUAAUAAGGAUUAUUCAACGACUCCCUCCAACCCAAGAAUCUCAGGCAGAGGUGAUUAGAAAUGAAGGGAAACAAGUUCUGAUCAUGGUUUUCAAUGUUAUCCCAUAGUAUGUGGUUUAUAUAAUGUGGGACCCAUACUGAUCUGCUAAUGCCUGUAAUAAUGGCUGGACGACCACAACGUGAAAUUGGUUACCCUGUGAGUAGGGUGGUAACCCAAAGUGCCGAACGGUACUUCAUAAUCAGUACUGCUUAUAAGCUCGAAUUGGCCGCUACCUUGUUUGUUUGCUUAUUUGUUCAGAAUUUAAAGAUUUUGCCUUUUUGGUUUGGUUUUUCACGAGCUUUUCGAACCGCUACAGGGAAUGUGAUCCCCAGUACUAUUAAAAUGAAAGGUUAUAAUUCGUUUGCUUAUUUGUUUGGAAUUUUAGAGUGUUUGUUUAGAUUUAAAUAAGACAAAGGAGCUGUUUCAACUUUUCUGGCCCAUAAAAGAAGUAAUGGACAUUUUCUAAAAUCAAGCCCGAUUUUUCAGCAUCACAAAUGAUUUGAAAACAAGUAGAUGUUCUUAACUCUAUUUCACUCCCUUACAUGGUUCAGUUUCAAUGAACUGAUUAGGAAACUUGGCACAUUUAUUUGUGGCAGGAAAUUGAAAGAGUGAUAAAGGGAGCAUUCACUUAUUGUCUAUUUUUGUUCACAUCAUGAAACAAUUUUUAUUAGCUCAACCUGUGAUUAAACUAGAGCUCUCCUUCAAAACAAGGAAUAAAAGAGGAUGCAUGGAUAAAGAAAAUAAAAAGUAUCAAACAA
Molecule: long non-coding RNA, 1427 nt
Organism: Tigriopus californicus
Lineage: Eukaryota; Metazoa; Arthropoda; Copepoda; Harpacticoida; Harpacticidae
Exons: 2
Source: RefSeq, a predicted model, not a curated record